UUUCCGUAGGUGAACCUGCGGAAGGAUCAUUGCACACACAAGUUGCAGCAAACCCUUUGCGAAUUCAUGAUCGUCCCCACCCUUAUAAUAUAACUUGGGGGGCCUGCUGCUGCUGGGACGGUUCCAUCUCUUGCCUGCCGCUGGCUGAUCACCGGUGGCGGGGCAGGCGUUGGGAUUUUCCCUCGGCCUCCUCCCAGACCCGAGCGUUCCCUUCGGGGGACGCUCGGUGUGUUAUAAUAUACCCACAACCGAUUGCACAAUGCAUCAACACCUCCAAAAAGACUGAGUAAUAAGAACAAGAGGACCUCGGUCCUCGAGUUGUAAUAUAAAACAAAAUACAACUCUCAGCAACGGAUAUCUUGGCUCUU
Molecule: unclassified non-coding RNA, 368 nt
Filed under: soil metagenome
Description: partial contains small subunit ribosomal RNA, internal transcribed spacer 1, and 5.8S ribosomal RNA
Source: RNAcentral